RNAcentral lists this ribosomal RNA (207 nucleotides) under uncultured bacterium. Its description in RNAcentral is "partial 16S ribosomal RNA". It matches the Rfam family "Bacterial small subunit ribosomal RNA", at positions 568 to 774 of the family's 1533-position model. The record is from RNAcentral.
CUCGUAGGCGGUUCGUCGCGUCCGGUGUGAAAGUCCAUCGCUUAACGGUGGAUCCGCGCCGGGUACGGGCGGGCUUGAGUGCGGUAGGGGAGACUGGAAUUCCUGGUGUAACGGUGGAAUGUGUAGAUAUCGGGAAGAACACCAAUGGCGAAGGCAGGUCUCUGGGCCGUCACUGACGCUGAGGAGCGAAAGCGUGGGGAGCGAACA